Molecule: non-coding RNA, 133 nt
Organism: Triticum aestivum (bread wheat)
Lineage: Eukaryota; Viridiplantae; Streptophyta; Magnoliopsida; Poales; Poaceae
Source: Rfam
CAGUUACUCCCUCCAUUCGAAAAUACUUAUCAUCAAAAUGAAUAAAAAAUAUAUAUCUAAAAUUAAAAUACAUCUAGAUACAUCCUUUUUAUUUAUUUUGAUGACAAGUAUUUUCAGACGAAGGGAGUAUAUU